RNAcentral lists this ribosomal RNA (1528 nucleotides) under metagenome. Its description in RNAcentral is "bacterial SSU rRNA". It matches the Rfam family "Bacterial small subunit ribosomal RNA". The record is from RNAcentral.
AGAGUUUGAUCCCGGCUCAGAGUGAACGCUGGCGGCGUGGAUUAGGCAUGCAAGUCGAGCGAUAUUUCAGGCGAAGAGGUUGAAGCCGCAAGGCAGAUGCCGAUUUGCCUGAUUUAUAGCGGCAGACUGGUGAGUAACGCGUGAGCAACUUACCCCUAAGGCGGGGAUAGCCUUGCGAAAGUAAGGGUAAUACCCGAUGUGUCAGAUUCUUCAUAAGAAGAGCCUGGUAAAGAUAGCCCGCAAGGGUUGUUACUUAGGGAUGGGCUCGCGUCCUAUCAGCUAGUUGGUAGGGUAAUGGCCUACCAAGGCUUUUGACGGGUAGCUGGCCUGAGAGGGUGGUCAGCCACACGGGGACUGAGACACUGCCCCGACUCCUACGGGAGGCUGCAGUCGAGGAUAUUUAGCAAUGGGCGAAAGCCUGACUAUGCGACGCCGCGUGAGGGAUGAAGGUUUUCGGAUUGUAAACCUCUUUCAAUGGGAAAGAAUUUUGACGGUACCCAGAGAAGAAGCCACGGCUAACUCCGUGCCAGCAGCCGCGGUAAUACGGAGGUGGCGAGCGUUACUCGGAAUCAUUGGGUGUAAAGGGCAGGUAGGCGUCCCUACAAGUUUUGGGUGAAAUCCUUUCGCUUAACGAAAGAACUGCCCAAAAAACUGUAGGGAUUGAGGCUAGAAGAGGAGAGCGGAAUUCCCGGUGUAAGGGUGAAAUCUGUAGAUAUCGGGAGGAACACCAGUGGCGAAGGCGGCUCUCUGGUCUAGCCCUGACGCUGAGCUGCGAAAGCUAGGGGAGCAAACAGGAUUAGAUACCCUGGUAGUCCUAGCCGUAAACGAUGAGCACUAGGUGUUGGGGGGUUUCUUUCAGCGCCGCAAGAUAACUCGUUAAGUGCUCCACCUGGGGACUACGGCCGCAAGGCUAAAACUCAAAGGAAUUGACGGGGGCCCGCACAAGCGGUGGAACAUGUGGUUUAAUUCGAUGCUACGCGAGGAACCUCACCAAGGUUUGACAUGCAGGAAGUAGGAACCCGAAAGGGGGACCACCUGUUAAGUCAGGAGCCUGCACAGGUGCUGCAUGGCUGUCGUCAGCUCGUGUCGUGAGAUGUUGGGUUAAGUCCCGCAACGAGCGCAACCCUCGUCCUUAGUUGCAACCUUGAAACCUAGCAGCAAUGCUGGGUUUUCGAGGGCACUCUAAGGAGACUGCCUGCGAUAAGCAGGAGGAAGGUGGGGAUGACGUCAAGUCCGUAUGGCCUUUAUAUCUUGGGCUACACACGUGUUACAAUGCCCGCUACAAAGCGUUGCCAACCCGCGAGGGGGAGCUAAUCGCAAAAAAGUGGGCUCAGUUCAGAUUGGAGUCUGCAAUCCGACUCCAUGAAGACGGAAUCGCUAGUAAUGGCGGAUCAGCACGCCGCCGUGAAUACGUUCCCGGGCCUUGUACACACCGCCCGUCAAGCGAUGGAAGCUGGGGGUACCUGAAAUUUCGCUCUAGGCGGACCUAAGGUAAAUCUGGUGACUGGCGCUAAGUCGUAACAAGGUA